Long non-coding RNA from Anguilla rostrata (American eel), 753 nucleotides. RefSeq lists it as uncharacterized. The record is from RefSeq and is a predicted model, not a curated record. NCBI's taxonomy places the organism in Eukaryota, Metazoa, Chordata, Actinopteri, Anguilliformes, Anguillidae. The transcript is spliced from 2 exons.
GUGCGAGGUGUGAGUGUGCGUGAGACCCCACCUGUGUUAGUGGCUCCCCCUGUGAGAUGGCAGGGUGAGGUCUCCCCCCUCCGGAGGCAGGGCUGAGGCACAGAGGGGCCAGAGUGGGUACACUGUUUUUCUGCUGAGCUGGCUUAUUGGCCUGCGCCAUCAGGCCACUGCACAUGGUCCAAAACUCUGCUGACUGGCUGCUCUUCAACAUGCCUAAAUUCUCAAAUUCCAUUCUGCUUUUGAACUGUUCUCUAGUUCUUGGUUGCUGCAUUCAUUCAUUUCAAGUCACUAACACUGGUACACCAAGCUGUGAAUGGUACUGCCCCUCCCUAACUUCUCCUUACGGUCCCAGCACUUCUUUGUUCUGGUUUCCAGAUGGUCGAAUGACCUCACCCAGUCAGUCAGAAUGGCAGAAUUAGACUGUUUUCCAAAAGCAUCUAAACCCCACCCUAUUUAGACUACUACUAUUCUCUCCCUUUAUAUGGCAAGGUCUGUUCUUUGACAGUGGCGCUUGUAUGACUUAUUUUACCUAUCUCUAGGUCCAGUGCUGUUUGCUUGCCCUGCAAAAAGCAAUUUAGGCUAAAUUGCAAUAGCUAAUUGUUAAUUGUAAAUCAUUUAAAGCUUCCAUUUACAUAUAUACUCAGUCAUUCUACUGGAUAUGUUUUAAAGUUUUUCAGUGUUUGUUCUCUGUGUACAUAAAGGUGUGCUUGUCUCUGUUUUCAUUUCCAUAAUAAAGAUCCAACUGAUGUUUUA